This 72-nucleotide transfer RNA is filed under the name Blattella germanica (German cockroach). RNAcentral describes it as "tRNA-Thr (GGT) (tRNA-Thr-GGT-4-1)". It matches the Rfam family "tRNA". From Rfam's summary of the family: Transfer RNA (tRNA) molecules are approximately 80 nucleotides in length. The record is from RNAcentral. RNAcentral also lists the same sequence under 4 other names. Lineage: Eukaryota; Metazoa; Arthropoda; Insecta; Blattodea; Blattellidae.
GCCAAUGUAGCUCAGGGGUAGAGCACUUCCUUGGUAAGGAAGAGGUCAUGGGUUCAAUUCCCAUCAUUGGCU